Molecule: ribosomal RNA, 726 nt
Filed under: Triticum aestivum (bread wheat)
Lineage: Eukaryota; Viridiplantae; Streptophyta; Magnoliopsida; Poales; Poaceae
Description: partial small subunit ribosomal RNA
Source: RNAcentral
AUGGACGGACCACGAACCAAGAGUUGGAGGGCGAGCGAUCUCACACUACUGCGCUGGCACCGGCGCGUACCAGCGGCCGACCUCUUCGUCAACGUUGUCCUCCGCCUUGUGCAGAGCGGCGUGCACCACGACGAGCACGAAGCCGAUGAGCAGCGACGUGAGGAUGUUGGUGGUGGCGCCGGUGAGCAGCAGGAGGAUGAGCGUGACAGCAGCGAGCACGGCGAGGACCACGCCGUCGCCGACGACGCGGCCGAAGAGGACGAUGGGCUCGUCGCGGAGGAAGUAGAGGACGAGCCAGCCGACCAUGCAGACGAGGAAGACGAUGAGGGAGAUGGGCUGCCAGAGGAGGGAGAGGAAGACGACGACGAGGACGACGAUGGCGUAGUUCAUGGCGAAGUGGGCGAGGUUGGCGCGCACGCGCAGGUAGGCGUCGCCGAGGCUCGGGGGCAGCCCGACGGCGUGCACGUCCGCGAGCUCGCGCCAUGGCCGGCGCGUGGCCAGCGCCGUCGCGCCGCGGGCCUUGGCGCGGGAGAUGAAGUCGAGCGGGGAGGCGCCGCCGAGGUGGGGCGCCCCCGCGGCGGCGGAGGAGGAGGUGGGGAUGGUGCCGUACUUGGACAUGGUCGCCGGCGGCGAGGGGCGGACCGCGGGGGGUCGGAUCCGAGAGGGGAAAGGGGACGGGGGAAGGGAGGAGACUCGAGAGGGAUCGGGCAAGGGCGAUGGGAUUAA